RNAcentral lists this ribosomal RNA (439 nucleotides) under Exiguobacterium mexicanum. RNAcentral's name for it is "bacterial SSU rRNA". It matches the Rfam family "Bacterial small subunit ribosomal RNA", at positions 64 to 484 of the family's 1533-position model. The record is from RNAcentral. Lineage: Bacteria; Bacillati; Bacillota; Bacilli; Caryophanales.
AAUCGACGGAACCCUUCGGGGGGAAGUCGACGGAAUGAGCGGCGGACGGGUGAGUAACACGUAAAGAACCUGCCCUCAGGUCUGGGAUAACCACGAGAAAUCGGGGCUAAUACCGGAUGGGUCAUCGGACCGCAUGGUCCGAGGAUGAAAGGCGCUCCGGCGUCGCCUGGGGAUGGCUUUGCGGUGCAUUAGCUAGUUGGUGGGGUAAUGGCCCACCAAGGCGACGAUGCAUAGCCGACCUGAGAGGGUGAUCGGCCACACUGGGACUGAGACACGGCCCAGACUCCUACGGGAGGCAGCAGUAGGGAAUCUUCCACAAUGGACGAAAGUCUGAUGGAGCAACGCCGCGUGAACGAUGAAGGCCUUCGGGUCGUAAAGUUCUGUUGUAAGGGAAGAACAAGUGCCGCAGGCAAUGGCGGCACCUUGACGGUACCUUGCG